AGCGAACGCUGGCGGCAGGCCUAACACAUGCAAGUCGAACGGACUCUUCGUAAGUAGUUGCGCACGGGUGUGUCGCACGUGGGAACGUUCCUUUAUGCACGGGAUACUACUUUUAAACUUGUGCUAAUACCGGGUGUGCCCUGCUGAGGCAACAUAUAUCGCGCUUGGAGCGGCAGGCGUCUGUUUAGCUAGUUGCGGUGGGAAAGGCGGACCAAGGCUACGAUCAGUAGCUGGUCUGAGAGGCAGAGCAGCCACAUUGGGACGGAGACGCGGCCCAAAAUACUACGGGAGGCAGCAGUGGGGGAUCCAGCGAAAUGGGGGAAGGGCUGACGGAGCCAUGCCGGGUGAAUGAUGUAGGUCUGAGGAAAGUAAAACUCUUUAAUCGGGGACGAUACUGACGGUACCCGGAGAAGAAGCCCCGGCUAACUUCGUG
This 433-nucleotide ribosomal RNA is filed under the name uncultured bacterium. Its description in RNAcentral is "partial 16S ribosomal RNA". It matches the Rfam family "Bacterial small subunit ribosomal RNA", at positions 29 to 507 of the family's 1533-position model. The record is from RNAcentral.